RNAcentral lists this ribosomal RNA (497 nucleotides) under uncultured bacterium. Its description in RNAcentral is "bacterial SSU rRNA". It matches the Rfam family "Bacterial small subunit ribosomal RNA", at positions 66 to 543 of the family's 1533-position model. The record is from RNAcentral.
GCGAGAAAGGGCUUCGGCCCCGGUAAAGCGGCGCACGGGUGAGUAACACGUAGGUAAUCUGCCUCUUGGCGGUGGAUAACCUUCCGAAAGGAGGGCUAAUACAGCAUAAGACCACGCGGUCGUGAGACUGUGGGGUAAAAGCCGGCCUCUUCAAGAAAGCUGGCACCAGGAGAUGAGCCUGCGGCCCAUCAGGUAGUUGGUAGGGUAACGGCCUACCAAGCCGAAGACGGGUAGCUGGUCUGAGAGGAUGAUCAGCCACACUGGAACUGAGACACGGUCCAGACUCCUACGGGAGGCAGCAGUGGGGAAUCUUGCGCAAUGGGCGAAAGCCUGACGCAGCGACGCCGCGUGAGUGAUGAAGGCCUUCGGGUUGUAAAGCUCUGUGGAGGGGGACGAAUAGGGGUCGUCGAAUAGACGGCCCGAUGACGGUACCCCUUUAGCAAGCACCGGCUAACUCUGUGCCAGCAGCCGCGGUAAGACAGAGGGUGCAAACGUUG